UUUCAAUGCCGUCACCAAUUACUCCCUAACACCAACCCCACGUCAUAGUGGAGUACAGAGCGGGAAAGAAGAAAAACACAGCGCAAGAAAGUAAAUGAGAGGAUAACUUUUAAGAAACUUAAAUAAUUUUUGUUGUGGUAGAAUUAGAAGGUACUUUCUCUGCAAUGACCUUGAAGGUGGUCUUUCCCUGUUUUUGAUAUAAAAUCUAACCGAAAAGUUGUAUUUUCGCAAUAAGUUGAUCUCUAGAGAAUUCCUGACUACUUAUGGUCUGUGUCUCUUAAAUUGAAACUACAGAGUCUCUACUGUUAUAAUUUGAAAAUCUUGUUCUUGUUUUUGUUUGUUUUUGUUUAGCAGAAAUGAGUGACCCAAAGUAUGCUUAUCCUUACCCUGCUCAAGGUUAUUAUCAAGGACCCCCAGUGAUGGCACCUCCACAAUAUGCAGCACCACCACCCAAAAGAGAGCCUGGUUUCCUUGAAGGAUGGUAAUUUCUUCUACCCAUAUGAUUUUUCCACAUGCAUAUUUUCCUUUUCUUUCUUAUUUCCCCUAAAAAAACUAGCUAAAACUUCACAUAUUUUUCCAAGAAAUUUAGCAUUGUUUUGGCUUUAUUUAUUGUCGAAUCCUGAUUAUAUGCUUGUUUGUUUCCCUUGUUGUUGAUUACUACAGCCUUGCAGCUUUGUGUUGCUGCUUCCUUAUUGACGAGUGUUGCUGUGACCCAUCCAUCAUCCUUGUUAGCUGAUAAAGCUGUAACUUGUUCCAAAUACAAACAUAAAUAUGUGGAGUCGUUGAUCUAGGAACAUUUCAAUCCAAUUGUCUACUAUGUUAAAAUCUUUGUUUCUGUUGUUCGUACAAUAUUAUAUUUGAAUCCCUAUUCUCAUUCCCCUUAGGCUUUUGCAUCUCUGCUUUAUUUUCAUUAAACUCUUUGCACUGGUCUCUUU
RNAcentral lists this unclassified non-coding RNA (935 nucleotides) under Hevea brasiliensis (rubber tree). The record is from RNAcentral. Lineage: Eukaryota; Viridiplantae; Streptophyta; Magnoliopsida; Malpighiales; Euphorbiaceae.